This 3608-nucleotide ribosomal RNA is filed under the name Triticum aestivum (bread wheat). RNAcentral describes it as "partial small subunit ribosomal RNA". Lineage: Eukaryota; Viridiplantae; Streptophyta; Magnoliopsida; Poales; Poaceae. The record is from RNAcentral.
CUGGAGACGAAGAAACAAAUGCGCAACACCACUGGCUGCUCGUCUAGGUAGGGGAAGAGCGAGCUAGGUGAGGUGUGAGGGAGCCGUAGCAGAGCGACACGCGGACAGCGGCCGCAAGCUCGAAGGAGCGGCCCGAUGAGGCGCCGCGUGCCGGAGAGGUAGGGCGAUCCCAAGUGUAGGUGCUGCGCGCGUCUCUUCCCUUACGCUAAGAUGACAAGUGACAGUGACGCGAACUAGGUAUGGCGGUUGUCUCGCUUGGUUGAGACUCAGACUCGACGAUGAUCGGUUCUUUCUAGGGGCAUCCGUGCCGGCUAGACAUCGACGCAAGCCACAUUGUUACGAAGAAACUGAAUGAACCUAAUUAAGAGAAAGGCCCCUUAGAUAGCCAGCACUAAACUGGAGGUUCCCACAUCUCACAUCUAACUUCUGCGUUUAGAGCAACGAAUAAUGACAGUCACGUGAUCCGCCGGACUGGAGGUGUGUCUCAACUGUCUCGAUCGUGUCCCAGUACCUCCGUCGAGAGCAGUCACACCGUUGUCCCCAUGACUUUGGGCAGGACCCCUUCGACUGGCGGGACGAACCGCUACUCAUGUUCGCAAAGUGCUGUCAAGCGUUCCUCUAGUUCAGAGAGUGAGUACUCGAUCGACGGUACCUCCGAAAAGAGGAGUUCUACAGGCUCCUACUCCUAGGCCUACGCGUCCUAUUCCGUACCUACUUACUCCAGGCCCUCGACAGGAUGCUGUACCUCCUACGGUAGCUGCUAAAGUACGUUUUACAGCUACUGUUUCUACGAUUCGGUCUGCCGAAGUACCUAUUCUAGUUCUCGAGUGACCCCUUCUACUUCCGAUCUGCAGCGUAACCGUCGCUCUAGGUGCUAAACUUCUUCGUUUAGUAACUCCACCCACUCUCCUUACUUUCCAUGUUCUCGGCGUGCCGGAAGAGGUUGUGGUUUUUACGUUGGCAACUGGGAUCUCGAGAAAAAUACAAACUCGUACGGAGUUUCGAACAACCUUAACUACUUGGGUUCCGACUCUAUUAGUUAGACAACUGGCUUCCCCUACCUACACGCAAUUGCGUUCUCGUUGACUUUUACCAGAGGUAGCAACCUAGACCUCCUUACCCGUUCUGUUGGGAACGUUCGGUUCACAUAGUUGUCGAGUUUCGUUUUAAACUCACAUUUCGAAAGCAUAGUCACAGUGCCUUAGGUCUGUACUACUUAUAAGAUUCUUGGUAAGAAUCACUUCAAUCGACGGUUUUAAUACGAGUGUGACUUCGUCCCUCGUAUGUUGUCGACUAUUCGUUCUAGUUGCUAAUGUCUCGUCUCUUUUCCAUGAAGUAUCACUAACUGCUAUAUACCCUGUCAUUUUGUACCCUACAAUAGUUCAUACGUAAGGGGUACUUGUCUACACCGUCGCACUAUUAUUGGUGGUGUGCUUAGUAACUACAACGUGUAAACACGGCAAGUAACUAGCCACCGGUACAAAUGUUAUAUUCUGGAGAAUUAUACCGUGUGAGAUCUGUUGAUAAAGUGUCUUCUAAUAAGUCGAGACUACUUCUAACAGGAAGUAUGGAACUUUUUCGAAGCUUGCUUUAGGACUUUUUUACACUACCGAACGGAAACCGUUAGUAACGGUAUAGACCAGACAACCGAUUGUACCCUUCUUGUCUCGUAAAUACCUCGGUCCACUUUCUAAGAUAACCAGUACGUGAGCUUUCCUUGGGAUCGCAACUACCUUACUAUUUCUAUAGCAGUGAAUCAAUGAAACUAGACGGGGGAGUGGAUUUUUGAACAGAGGACAUGGAGUCAUAAAAGGGUCUUCUAAGACAACAAUACUCCUCUCUGGAACAUACCUCUACCUAACGGCUUCCUAAACAAGUGUUUCUUCCGUUUAUAAGCCGUAUACUUAAUCCUUUUUCCAUAAAAUUACUCGAGCAGUUAUCCUCAGACUAGGUUGGACAUUUCAAAUCUCCUGGAAACUCAGACCUGUUUAUACUAUUCCACAAACGAACAGCACAAGUACUGUGUUAAGAACUAAAGUAUCAUAGGUUCAGGUAACUUCUCUUGAAACAAUGAAAGUAACCAAGGGGGUCACAUUGAUAACCCUGUGUUUCGUCUCAAGCGGCCGACAGGUAGGUUCAACCUCCCUUUCCUUUAAGAAACCACGGCUGCUCGGACUAUAACAGGGUACGGGCCAGUGAAUUACAAAAACCCUUUUGUCGCCUUUAGGGAACUUAUUUCCUCAAGUUCGUAAACGCACAACACCUGAAGUCUCUUACGUCAGUUAACCUUUUGGUGGUAGAACAUUUACAUCCCUCCGACAGAGUAGAUUCCAUGGAGUUGUAAUCGAGCUACUUCCAAUCGUUCGACGGUCUUGUGUAACCUGUGGAUGUGACGAAUCUCUACAACCUGUAUUGCUUGUGUCGCCACAUGCUAAAUGGUCGUUCAAAACAGUUAGAGUCUUCUAACCGUGUAAAAGCACAACCGGUUACACAAUCCAAAGGACUACCUUAACGCUUCUACGUUCGUAACCUCUGAAACUUUUAACACGUCUGGAGGUACGUCAGUAUAUUAAAAGACGUUCUCGAACCUCUCGAUUUCUUAGACUCCUUCGACAAGGAAAAAUGAUAUGUACUGCAUCUUGUGUUCCUCCAGCAACGAAGAAGAGAGGCAUUUGACACAAACGUCUUGGAAUCAAGAGAUCUAUACACCUUACUAACACUGUUGUAACAUGACUUACGUACCACGUACCUAGGCGGCGAAUCGGAGGUCUUUGAAUUAUAGCAGUUGAGUCAGGAGGGUUUCCAAGGUCUAACCCAUCCUAACGAACAGUUGGACGUCUAGAAUGCGAACCUUCACUACUCUUAGUCCGUACUUCUAGAGACAUAGGAACCUAGGAAUGGACGAGACGAGUGAGACAAAGAAUCUCCUGGCGUUCCAAACAUAGGAACAUUUCUAUCUUUCGACCGUCAGGGAUCACUUCGACCCAAGGCUACGGACUUCUACAAGGCAUUACUUGGUACCGUACUAACCUAUCUAGAGUACAAACUUCGUUCUACAUACGGGUUCGAUCUUUUUGACCUCUAAUUAAACGAACAUAAGAGGUCACGAGUUGAACUCAGGGAAUCGCCAGGACCACGAAAGUUAAAACCCUAGCUUUUGGAGACGUCGGAACAUUGUAAGUUUAUACUUAGUGAAAGAUAGACCUCGCCGAAUUCAUCGUGGUGACAACUACGUCAUUUUCGAAGAGACCUCUCACGUCAGUCGCGUGUAGGGUUGGUGCAAUGAGAUUAGAAGUUAGUACAGUUAGUCCCACUAGGUACUUGAUUCUGGUGUAUCAUGCCAUGAAGAAGGGAUCUAAAUAUCGAAUGAUCAAGUAAAAUAACAUCGUCAUCAUCAUUAGUGAGAAAGUGUUAAAUCAACGGAACAUACCAGUCCGAUUAACAGACACACAGAAAAGUCCAACCCUCGUUUAGAAAACUUGUAAGUCAACUGUACGGCACAUUAAACUGUACGACAUGACAACGAUGCACUCGAUCCGCGAGUCUCAUGACGAUAACGAAGAACUAAAUUCCCGGAACAGGAAAAAAAAGCCUUUCCUCCAAAAUGG